GGCAACACUGAUAGGAGAAUUUUACAUAGUAAGGGUUACAAUCCCUAACCGUGGCCGAAGGCCGCCUACGCAGAAAGAAGUUCUGCGCAAAAAUAAUUCCGCCCCUCUUUUCCGGCAACGCAGA
Molecule: long non-coding RNA, 124 nt
Organism: Rhagoletis zephyria (snowberry fruit fly)
Lineage: Eukaryota; Metazoa; Arthropoda; Insecta; Diptera; Tephritidae
Source: RefSeq, a predicted model, not a curated record